GAAACUCUGUGUGGAAAUAGGUGGU
This 25-nucleotide non-coding RNA is filed under the name Rattus norvegicus (Norway rat). The record is from RNAcentral. Lineage: Eukaryota; Metazoa; Chordata; Mammalia; Rodentia; Muridae.